This 219-nucleotide small RNA is filed under the name Arabidopsis thaliana (thale cress). Its description in RNAcentral is "ATSL111640". Lineage: Eukaryota; Viridiplantae; Streptophyta; Magnoliopsida; Brassicales; Brassicaceae. The record is from RNAcentral.
AAAAUUUGUGGGGUAGGGUGUUGAAUUUUAUUAAACAAACCAUUGUAGAGUAUAAAAUUUGAGUGGGUAUUGAAUUAUUAUGUGGAAGAGAGAGGAAAUGAUGUGGAAGAAAGAGAAGAUGAUGUGGAGGAUGUUGAAUCGAAAAACCAUUGUUGAUAGAUUAUGCGAAUAUGCAAAAGUUUUACCAAUUAAGAAAAUAUGCAUAAUGUUUACCGAAAC